RNAcentral lists this ribosomal RNA (700 nucleotides) under Chromohalobacter sp. K196. Its description in RNAcentral is "bacterial SSU rRNA". It matches the Rfam family "Bacterial small subunit ribosomal RNA", at positions 70 to 763 of the family's 1533-position model. Lineage: Bacteria; Pseudomonadati; Pseudomonadota; Gammaproteobacteria; Oceanospirillales; Halomonadaceae. The record is from RNAcentral.
ACGAUCCUAGCUUGCUAGGAGGCGUCGAGCGGCGGACGGGUGAGUAAUGCAUAGGAAUCUACCCAGUCGUGGGGGAUAACCUGAGGAAACUCAGGCUAAUACCGCAUACGUCCUACGGGAGAAAGCGGGGGCUCUUCGGACCUCGCGCGAUUGGAUGAGCCUAUGUCGGAUUAGCUGGUUGGUGAGGUAACGGCUCACCAAGGCGACGAUCCGUAGCUGGUCUGAGAGGAUGAUCAGCCACACCGGGACUGAGACACGGCCCGGACUCCUACGGGAGGCAGCAGUGGGGAAUAUUGGACAAUGGGCGCAAGCCUGAUCCAGCCAUGCCGCGUGUGUGAAGAAGGCUUUCGGGUUGUAAAGCACUUUCAGCGAGGAAGAAAGCGUGCCGGCCAAUACCCGGUACGGACGACAUCACUCGCAGAAGAAGCACCGGCUAACUCCGUGCCAGCAGCCGCGGUAAUACGGAGGGUGCAAGCGUUAAUCGGAAUUACUGGGCGUAAAGCGCGCGUAGGCGGCGUGUCACGCCGGGUGUGAAAGCCCCGGGCUCAACCUGGGAACGGCAUCCGGAACGGGCAGGCUAGAGUGCAGGAGAGGAAGGUAGAAUUCCCGGUGUAGCGGUGAAAUGCGUAGAGAUCGGGAGGAAUACCAGUGGCGAAGGCGGCCUUCUGGACUGACACUGACGCUGAGGUGCGAAAGCGUG